UAACACGAACCGUACGAACGUUAUUCGGAAUCACUGGGCUUAAAGGGUGCGUAGGCGGCUUUGCAAGUUGGGUGUGAAAUCCCUCGGCUCAACCGAGGAAUUGCGCCCAAAACUGCCGGACUCGAGGGAGACAGAGGUGAGCGGAACUCAGGGUGGAGCGGUGAAAUGCGUUGAUAUCCUGAGGAACACCAGUGGCGAAAGCGGCUCACUGGGUCUCUUCUGACGCUGAGGCACGAAAGCUAGGGGAGCGAACGGGAUUAGAUACCCCGGUAGUCCUAGCUGUAAACGAUGAGCACUGGGCCGGAGAGUCCUCCAUAGCUUUCCGGCCGUAGCGAAAGUGUUAAGUGCUCCGCCUGGGGAGUAUGGUCGCAAGGCUG
This 377-nucleotide ribosomal RNA is filed under the name uncultured Planctomycetia bacterium. RNAcentral's name for it is "bacterial SSU rRNA". It matches the Rfam family "Bacterial small subunit ribosomal RNA", at positions 521 to 896 of the family's 1533-position model. The record is from RNAcentral. Lineage: Bacteria; Pseudomonadati; Planctomycetota; Planctomycetia.